AUGCAACAAAUCUGGUCCAUUGAUCAAGCACAAGCUCUAGCCUUAAAGGCCGAGAGGUUUGUGAGGACAAGAAAUACAACUAAGGCUCCAUAUCCUCAUACUGAAGGCUCGUCUAGGGAUCACACUAAUAGAGUGGAAGAAAAGACCACUCCAUCGAAGGCAAAACAAACAAUCCCGAAGCAAACUAGAGGCAAGGGUAAGGCAAAUGAAGGCCCAAAGUGCUAUAAAUGUGGUAAAGAGGGACACAUAUCCAACGGUUGCCCAUUAAGAAAAUUUGUUAACACUGCUAUUCAUGAUGGUGAAGACGAUGAGGAAAAAUAUGAAUCUGAAGAUGUAGAGGGACAAGAGGUUUGUCAAGAAGAAGGUGAAGAGGUGGUAUGUGUGAUUUAG
Molecule: ribosomal RNA, 390 nt
Filed under: Triticum aestivum (bread wheat)
Lineage: Eukaryota; Viridiplantae; Streptophyta; Magnoliopsida; Poales; Poaceae
Description: partial small subunit ribosomal RNA
Source: RNAcentral